ACUCAUACCUUAUAGGAAAAAUGCCAUGUUGUCAAAAUGAUUUUCCCAGGGAGAGGCUUAUCCAUUGCAUUUUGGGUGUGUUGUUGACCCCUGUGUUUUCCCCAAAUGUGGGGAACUCAACUAUGUAAUUUGUGUUAAUGAGGGCAUUAUGUUUGUGAUUUCUCUGU
This 167-nucleotide small nuclear RNA is filed under the name Pogona vitticeps (central bearded dragon). RNAcentral's name for it is "U1 spliceosomal RNA (ENSPVIG00000005525.1)". It matches the Rfam family "U1 spliceosomal RNA". Rfam says of the family: U1 is a small nuclear RNA (snRNA) component of the spliceosome (involved in pre-mRNA splicing). Its 5' end forms complementary base pairs with the 5' splice junction, thus defining the 5' donor site of an intron. Lineage: Eukaryota; Metazoa; Chordata; Lepidosauria; Squamata; Agamidae. The record is from Rfam by way of RNAcentral.